UACGGAGGGUGCAAGCGUUGUUCGGAAUUAUUGGGCGUAAAGAGCAUGUAGGCGGUUUGGUAAGUUGGAAGUGAAAGCCCAGGGCUCAACCUUGGAAUUGCUUUCAAAACUGCCUUACUAGAGUAUGGUAGGGGACAGUGGAAUUCUUAGUGUAGGGGUGAAAUCCGUAGAUAUUAAGAGGAACACCAGAGGCGAAGGCGACUGUCUGGGCCACUACUGACGCUAAGAUGCGAAAGCGUGGGGAGCAAACGGG
This 253-nucleotide ribosomal RNA is filed under the name uncultured bacterium. RNAcentral's name for it is "partial 16S ribosomal RNA". It matches the Rfam family "Bacterial small subunit ribosomal RNA", at positions 524 to 776 of the family's 1533-position model. The record is from RNAcentral.